Molecule: ribosomal RNA, 465 nt
Filed under: Vreelandella stevensii
Lineage: Bacteria; Pseudomonadati; Pseudomonadota; Gammaproteobacteria; Oceanospirillales; Halomonadaceae
Description: partial 16S ribosomal RNA
Rfam family: Bacterial small subunit ribosomal RNA
Source: RNAcentral
CCUACGGGAGGCAGCAGUGGGGAAUAUUGGACAAUGGGGGCAACCCUGAUCCAGCCAUGCCGCGUGUGUGAAGAAGGCCCUCGGGUUGUAAAGCACUUUCAGUGAGGAAGAACGCCUGGUGGUUAAUACCCAUCAGGAAAGACAUCACUCACAGAAGAAGCACCGGCUAACUCCGUGCCAGCAGCCGCGGUAAUACGGAGGGGGCGAGCGUUAAUCGGAAUUACUGGGCGUAAAGCGCGCGUAGGUGGCUUGAUAAGCCGGUUGUGAAAGCCCCGGGCUCAACCUGGGAACGGCAUCCGGAACUGUCAAGCUAGAGUGCAGGAGAGGAAGGUAGAAUUCCCGGUGUAGCGGUGAAAUGCGUAGAGAUCGGGAGGAAUACCAGUGGCGAAGGCGGCCUUCUGGACUGACACUGACACUGAGGUGCGAAAGCGUGGGUAGCAAACAGGAUUAGAUACCCUUGUAGUC